UUUCUCUUCUUCUUUACUCUAUACGUUGGUGUUAUAACCAAUAAUCACCAAAGCGAUGUUCUGUCCGAUUGAUUCAGGAACCAACGAACGAAUACCAAAGUGUUGUACUUUGUGAAUUUCGGUAAACGGAAUCCAAAGUACUAUACUUUGUGAAUUUCGGUAAACGGAAUCCAAAGUACUAUACUUUGUGAAUUUUGGUAAACGGAAUCCAAAGUACUUUACUUUGUGAAUUUCGGUAAACGGAAUCCAAAGUGUUAUACUUUGUGAAAUUCGUUAAGGUUCGAAUCUCGUGAUCAUCGUUAGGUUUGAUUUGGGUUUUACACAAAUACGUAUUCCAUUCUGUUAAACUAUAUGUUUAACCAUCAGAAUACUCCCAACUAUACGCUUACAAUCAAAAUGGAUGCUUAAUCAUCAGAAGAUCCAAACUAAUAAAGUAUAUGCUUAAUUAUCAGAAGGAGUAGAAUCAAGAAGCUUGUUAAAUCAAUACUGCAUGCUUAUACUGUAAUUACAGUAGAAUGGAGUAAGGACUGGAUCCGGCACUGAAGGACUUCAAGAAGUGGCUUAUUUUAUUACUAAAUCAAAUUAAGAAAUAUUGUUUUUAUUAAAAGCUACCUUUGUAAAAUAUGGAAUUUAUUCCAUCUAUUUAAAUAAAAUCCAGUGUUUCUAAACUCUGAUAUUUUUCCUAACUCACGGGGUCCUGAUGAAAUUUCCGCUGCAAUGUUUUUCAAAAAUAACCACCGGUACCACUUGGCUGUUCGCGGCGCCCGAUUCCAUCCAGGGUGGGGUCGGGGGUCGUGACAGUUGUAACGGCAAGGGGAUUAGUUGAAGUAUCGUAGCUAAUCGAUCUUUGAGGCAGCGACGGCAAGGGGAUCAGUUGAAGUAUCGUAGUUGUUGAUCGAGUCGUUCCUCUAGGGGAAUUAUCAUUCGCUCAUUCUAGAAAACGACCCCAACAUUCAUCGGUCGUUAGAUAUCUUGGAACUUGCUGUCUGGAGUAGCUGGAGUGGUCAUGGGUCGACUGAGGAGACUCAUGCGAUUAUUUGUUUACUACUACACAUUGGUUUUUGAACAACUUAGUUAUGGUUUACUAUUUGCUUCCGCUGAACAUGAACGUUUUUGUAUAAACUUGUGAUGGAAUUUUAUUAUUAAUUCGAGAACUU
RNAcentral lists this long non-coding RNA (1157 nucleotides) under Helianthus annuus (common sunflower). Its description in RNAcentral is "hypothetical non coding rna". The record is from RNAcentral. Lineage: Eukaryota; Viridiplantae; Streptophyta; Magnoliopsida; Asterales; Asteraceae.